RNAcentral lists this long non-coding RNA (6023 nucleotides) under Gossypium raimondii (Peruvian cotton). RNAcentral's name for it is "long non-coding RNA (GRAI_LNC005143)". Lineage: Eukaryota; Viridiplantae; Streptophyta; Magnoliopsida; Malvales; Malvaceae. The record is from RNAcentral.
ACGAAAUCAGCAAGGGGGGGAGCCAUUGUUAGGGUUUUCAAGCUUCCAAGCUCCAUAGUAAGUGAUUCUAAGCCCCGUUUUUAAUGUUCUUUACGUUUCUGAAGUCCCGGUAACUUGAUUUUGCUUAUUCUAGCAAUAAUUUAAUCUAUGGUUUAUAUUUGGAAAAAUACCCAUAUGUGAAAUGUGUUUAUUUUGAUGUUUUAUGGUAGAAUAUGAAUCUAGAAAUUAUGUUAAGCAACUUUUGCUAAGCGAUUUUGAGUGAAAACGAGUAAAACGACAUAAUCGAUAAAAAUACUAAAUGUUCAUAAGUAAGUGUUAGAGUGGGAAUUUGGUGUUGCCAUAGAAGGGAAAAAUGUUCAACAUGUCACAAUACAUAAGAAUAAGGGAUAAAUUUUAAUUUCCGAGCCUAGGGGCAAAAUUGUAAUUUUGUGAAACUUUGGGGGAAAAAAUGUAAUUUUGCCAAAAUGUGAUUUUUGGACUGGAUUGAAUAAUGUGAGUGUUAAAUAAGUUAAAUGUGUUAUUAUAAGUCAAGAAAGACAAGGAAUUGACUUUGAUUAGUAAAAAAAAAAAAAAAAAAGUGAGAAAUUUCCCGAUUGAACAUUCGGAAUAAAAAGGGAUACGAAUGAAGUGACAGAAAUGAUCACAUAUGUGGCAUGGACUGUGUGUAGGCCACUAUGUGAAAGUGAUGGUCACGUGUGUAGUACUAUGUGUAGGCUACUACAUGUACCAGAAUGAUAGAUCGCAUGUGUAGUACUAUGUGCAGGCUACUAUGCGUACUGGAUAGCUUCGAUCACGUGUGUAGUACUAUGUGUAGGCUACUACGUAUAUCAGAAUGAUAGGUCGUAUGUGUAGUACUAUGUGCAGGCUACUAUGCGUACCGGAUAACUUCGAUCACGUGUGUAGUACUAUGUGCAGGCUAUUACGUGUAUCGGAUAGUGAUGGUCACAUGUGUAGUACUAUGUACAUGCUACUAUGUGAAUUCGCAUCAUUGAAUAUAAAGAUGGUUGCUAAGUGCUGAUUCCACCGUAUCCUUGACUGUGAAAGGGGUUGCUAUGUGCUGAUUCCCCGUAUCAUUGAUUAUAAGGUGGUUGCUAAGUGCUGAUUCCACCGUGUAACGGUUAAUGUUCCGAAGUGUUCAUCGGGGAAAUUAGAUAAGUGAAAAUAUAUGUGAAUCGAAUAAGGUUACGUGAUGAAUAUUUGGUUCGAUAUUUAAUCGACCCUUAAGUAGGAUGAAAAGAAGUAAUGAAAUUAUGAAAAAGUAAAAUGUGCAACAAAACAGUUUUAGACAGUAACAAUAGUGUGACUUUGAAAAAUCGCCAAAAAUGGUGGGAAUUGAAUUAGAGAGUGAAUAAGAUAUGAAAUGAAAGAUUAAGGAGUAUAUUUUUACAUGAAAGAAACAAGGGAAGCAAAAGAGUUACACAUUUUUAUAUAUUUGAAUUUUAGUGAGGCAGGGUCGGAUUGAUUUCGGAAUCCCCUGUUUUGACUUUGGAAAAUAGUUAAAAAUUGUACAAAAAUAAUUAUGAGUUAUAAUUUAUAUGCUUAGAAUCCUUAAUGAGUCUAUUUUCAAAUAAAAGAAACGUAAAUAUCAUCUGAAUUAUGUACAAUGAGAUAAUUCAUUUUUAGUGAAGAGAGGUCUGUGAUGUUGAGCAGUGAAAAAGGGGUGAAUUUAAAGAAUAAACUGUACUAAUUGGCCAAGUCAAAAAUUCUGAAAAUUUUAUGGUAAGAAUACAUGAGAGUCUAGUUUCAGGGAAAAUUAAUGGAUAUUAAUUUGGAGCUCUGUAGCUUCAGAUAAAAAUGAUUUAGUGACUCUGACUCAAAUAGACAGCUUUGAAUUUAAAUAUAAGUGGAAAUUAUGUAUAAUGCUAUUUAAGCAUGUUUUAUACAUAAAGGAUGUGGAAUGGAGAGGAGGAGGAGGACAAUAAAAUGUAUGAAAGAAUUGUGUAUAAUGGUCAUAUGCCCGAUUAUAAUCAGUAAAUGUUAAAUUGAAUGGUAAAUACGUAUUGGUACCGAAGGAACUAUUGCAGUGUUGAAAAGCAAUUGAUCAAAUAUCUAAGAAAUUUAGUCAUGAUAUAUAUAUAUAUAUAUGAUAAUAAUGAUAUAUGGAUGAUUAUAUCAUUGAGUUGCAUUGAUUAAUUCGGUUUAUGUGAUGGAAAUGUCAAGAACAUUUGUCUUUGAUAUGUGAUGAUCAUGGUUUAAGCUCAUAAGGUAAAAUAAAGUUUCAUAGUAUGAGAGUGUGGUAUUGAAAUAUAUAUAUUGGAUUGAGAAAUUAAUUUGAAUUGUGAACACGAAAUAUUGUGAAUUGAAUAAAAUGGAAAUGGAGCUUUGAAUUACAUGAGUAAGUAUCGGGUCUCGUAGGCCAUAUUUGUUAUGAAUAUAAUAUUUUGAGGAUAUGUUAUAAAGAAUUAUAAAAGCAUGUUAAAAAUUUGAAGAGUUUAAAUUUGAAUGAAAUUUUGUAACUCGGUUUAAUACGUUUACAUGUGUAAGUGUUCUAGUAAUGCCUCAUACCCUAUUCCGGAGUUGAAUACGGGUAAGGGGUGUUACAUUUGCCAGUUUAUGCAUGCACCCACUACUAUACAUCUAGUUGCAUUAAAAUGCAUAUUGCGGUAUUUGUGUGGUACUCUAGACUAUGGGAUUGUGUUUCGUCCGUUUACUCGACUCUCUUUAGUUGGUUAUGUCGAUGCAAAUUGGGGGUUGAAUUUUGAUGAUUGUCAAUCCACAAUUGGCUAUUGUGUCUAUUUUGGUCAUAACCCAAUAUCAUGGUGUUCCAAGAAACAAGAAGUUGUAUCUCGGUCCACAGUUGAAGCUAAAUAUCGAAGUCUUGCUGCAGCAACAAGUGAUGUUCUUUGGCUGACUUCGUUAUUAAAAGAAUUACAACUUCAGUCUAACGAUUCCCUUACUGUCUGGUGUGACAACUUAAGUGCAGUUGCAGUUGCUGCGAAUCUUGUUUUACAUUCUAAGUUUAAACAUGUGGAGCUAGAUUUGUUCUUUGUCCGUGAGAGAGUUGCUGAUGGGUCUUUAGUUGUGAGUGAAGUACCUGCGUGUGAUCAGAUUGCUAACAUUUUUACUAAGGGUGGGUUUGGAUGGGCGAUUGGGUGCGGUGCGUUUAGCUUACUUUUUGUCUCACGCUACAGUAUCGCUACAGCAUCUAAUCUCACCACCACCGCUGUUUUUACACUAACCGCAGGUAAAUGCACCACCCAUCCAAACUCACCCUAAGCAUUUAUCUGUUUCUUCUUUCGCUCGGUUUAGAAGUCUUCUUCAGGUGUUACCCGUCAAGAAGAUGGGUGAAUGUUAAAAUACAAAAUAACAGUUGUUAGUGUUGUUAGGAAUCAGUUCAGCAGUUAGUUUGUUAUUCUUAUCAAUCUGUUAAUCUGUUAGCAGCAGUUAUGAACAAUAGCUAAACUCAUGUAAUCUAUAAAUAUAAUAAUGGUAGAGGAAGGAACAAAUUCCUAUUUUCUUGAUCAAAAUAAUCAUACUUUGUUCAUUGAAAGAUUUUAACAAACAGUAACAAUGGCGUUAUCCAAUCAAGAAACAGAAAUUGUUUCCCUUAAUCACUUUCACGGCAUCUCAAUCUGCACUGUCAGCAAACAAAACAGGGGAAGAAAAAGACAGUUUCAUACUGAUAUUUGUUGAAUCCAUGGCUUCUUAAUACAAAGUAUGUUAAUGUAAAGGAAAGCCGACGCAUCAAGAGGAAGACUGAGGUAUACUGCAGAUGAAAUCAGAGUCAUCUCCUUCGUGGUUGAAGGCAAAGAAUCUAUGAAACUACCAGUGACAAAAUCAUUAAAGUUGCUACUCUGCAAUAUAAGUUACCCCAGUCUGGCCACUUUCUGUAAGCACCUCGAAGUUUCUAGCACUGAAUGACUCAUUUUUCAAAUAAACUUGUCUUGUAAGUUCUGAAUAAGCACAAUAAUCUACUUCAAUCACAUUAGUGUCCUCCUUGAAUGCAGAAACUGAAACUCCAACUCCUUCCCCUGCCAUAGGAUAUGUACGGCGACUUUAAUAGAAAUAGAAUGACAUUGUUUAAAAUCGACGGGGCAAAGGUAAAAAAUUGGGCCAAAUGUGUAGGACAAAGUGAAUAAUCAACAUAUUGUUGUCUAAUAUCGAAGAAUGUAGCUUACCAUGUGUCACUAACAGCAAGUUUUGAGAUGGGUAUUUAUCCGCCAGCGCCUUAAUAAUUUGUUCAUAUCUACUCCUUGCAUCCCUUACUGUCUCUUCCCAUUGCGGCAACUGUGAUUUUCAGACGAAGAAGUUAAAUCAGGCAGAUUAAACAUCGUCAAGCUACACUGACAAAAAUCUUAAGUUGUAGAAAAAGGGAAAUAGAUAAAAACGCACUGCAAAUAGCCAAAUGCUACCUCUUUAUAAACUGGUUCCACCGUAGGAUCUACCGUGCCACUUGGUAUCAGAGCCUCGAGCUGUGGAACGUCGAAACGAAAGAUUCCAUCUUUGGGCGCAACAUCAAUCCUAAUUGCUGUUUUAUUUAGCAUCUCACACAGCCCGUAUUCGAUUGAAACCUGCAAAAUACAACAAAAUGGGCUCAAGCAUAGAGAUGAAGAAAAAAAUUUGCUCAAAUUAUGAUUUAAAUAUUAAAUAGGUGUCGAAUUUCAAAACUCCUGAUUUAGUUAUUAAAUUAUUAGUACAAUUUGACAAGUAAAAUAAAAAACCUAGCUCAUAUUUUACGAUUUGACCAGAUGUUCUUAAAUACGCGUACGAUUUGAUCUAAUUUGAUCAGAUCUGGAUGAUAGUUUGGGAUGUUUAGUGUCAAAAGGAAAAAAGGGGGAAAAGUUGUUUUGACCUGACCUUGACUCUGGAAGGGUCGAUGGCAACGACGUCGUUGGAUGACUUGGCAUUAGGAUCGUCAUCGACGGAGCAAAGGGCAGCCACAACCUCGGAGGCAGUCUGGAUGCAGCGGAGAAAGGGAGAGACGAAGACUCGGUGGAUUGGGAAAGGUAGGCGGGUUCGAAACUCACGGCCCGUGCCAAAAGCCCUGUGUAGGCCAUUCUGUAUGAGCGGUGGAUCCCAUGGUCUGUCGGCCGUCUUUUCCCACGUGGGAUCGAAGUUGUCCAAACGGUCGCCGUGCCUCAUUACCAACACGUUCUGCUGAUAAGUUUUUGUGUCCAAGGGAUCCAUCGAUGCCGCCAUAAGGUUUAGCUUUCUCCUAGGAAUCAAAGGUUUUUUGCGUCUGCAAAUGGAGAUUGGAGUUCGGAAAGAAGCAAUGAAGCAGUUGCACAAUGUUCCUGUUCUCCCCAUGCCUAUCUUCCCUUGUUAUAGUCGUUGUUUUCCUAUAUUUUUUUAAUAAGACGUCGAUUAAAAUAUGGAGAUCCUGGGGAAAAAAAUGCUUUUUAUUUUUAUUUUGUAUUACCCAAUGCGUGCACCAUUAGGUAAUGUAAGAGCGUCUUCCUGGGAAGCUGCAAAAGGCUAGUGUGGAUUUGUGGUGAAAACGAAAUAGUUUUCAUGGUGAGAUAUUUUCUGCAAACGAGGUUGGGAUAACACGACAUGUAUGGGGUGGUUUGCUUGUUCUCUUGUACUCAUCGCUUGCAUGGAGUUGAAUUUACCCAUUGAAAUGUAAAAAAUAAAAGUUGAAUUAUUACUUUUUAACAACAUUACAUUGUGACAGCUCGAUUUGUAAUCCACAUUUACUUGAUGAUAAUUUUUUUUGAAUUUUCUAAGGAUGGGCUUACUAAAUUUCUGAGGCUCCUUCAAAACACCGCAAGUGUGAGGGAAAUAAGAAGGUUGACCUGGUUUGCAAGAAUCCAAGAGCAUUUGGAUGGUUCAGGGAUGUUGGAUUCUUUUUUUGGGUAUAAAAACAAGAUAAAACCUACUGAAUGCAGAACACAAGUCUAAUUCAUUUGGAGAAACCUGUCCUCUUCAUGUGUGUUAUAUAUAGGUGCAAUUCAUGCACAGCUUUAUGAAUAUUGGUUAUUAGGAGCAAAAGGUACAAACACUAAGGACAAUGCCUAUGAAAAAUUAAGAAGCUACCACUUGUGAUCAGUGUUAAGAGUUGAUACGCACCAUUUAUAGCCCCC